UCUGUCAAGUGGCUAACAAAAGGCCUCCAAGAGGUCCCAGCUUUAAUGUAGAGGAGGAUAAACUUCUUAUAAGUGCUUGGUUGAAUACUGGUAUGGAUUCAAUACAAGGCAAUGAUCAAAAGCUGCAGACUUUUUGGGGGAAAAUUACAGAGUACUAUCAUCAGUAUAAGUCCUUUGACAGUGAUCGUUCACAAUCGAUGCUGACACAACGGUGGGGAAAAAUACAAAAGAUGGUGAACAAAUUUUCAGGAUGUUUUGCAGCUAUAAAUGAAAGGCAUGAAAGUGGGAAGACUGAACAAGACAAGAUUGCAGAUGCAAAGAAGAUGUUUGAAGCACAAGAAAAGCUUUGGUUCAAUCUUGAUCAUGCUUGGAUUUUGUUGAGGCACCAACCAAAGUGGAUACAAUUAAUGCAAGAGCUGGACAGCAAGAAAAGUAAGCAAAGAUCUAAGUCUUGUAUAACUAAUAUCUCAUCAUCUUCAACUACAGGCCAUCUCAUAGAUAUUGAAGA
RNAcentral lists this long non-coding RNA (508 nucleotides) under Rosa chinensis. RNAcentral describes it as "sRNA RchiOBHm_Chr5g0060871". Lineage: Eukaryota; Viridiplantae; Streptophyta; Magnoliopsida; Rosales; Rosaceae. The record is from RNAcentral.